RNAcentral lists this ribosomal RNA (576 nucleotides) under Blastobotrys sp. NCAIM Y.02031. Its description in RNAcentral is "eukaryotic LSU rRNA". It matches the Rfam family "Eukaryotic large subunit ribosomal RNA", at positions 62 to 649 of the family's 3401-position model. The record is from RNAcentral. Lineage: Eukaryota; Fungi; Ascomycota; Dipodascomycetes; Dipodascales; Trichomonascaceae.
AAACCAACAGGGAUUGCCUUAGUAACGGCGAGCGAAGCGGCAAUAGCUCAAAUUUGAAAUCUGGCGUCUUUGGCGUCCGAGUUGUAAUUUCAAGAAGUGUCUUCUGGUUUGGCCCUUGCAUAUGUUCCUUGGAACAGGACGUCAUAGAGGGUGAGAAUCCCGUAUAUGGUGAGGUGCCCAUUCCUUUGUAAGUCGCUUUCUAAGAGUCGAGUUGUUUGGGAAUGCAGCUCUAAGUGGGUGGUAAAUUCCAUCUAAAGCUAAAUAUUGGCGAGAGACCGAUAGCGAACAAGUACUGUGAAGGAAAGAUGAAAAGAACUUUGAAAAGAGAGUGAAAAAGUACGUGAAAUUGCUGAAAGGGAAGGGCUUGAGAUCAGACUUGGUAUUCAGUGAUCAGCUUUCUUUCGGGACUGUGCACUCGCUGUUUACUGGGCCAACAUCAGUUUAGAUGGCGAGAUAAUGACAAUUGAAUGUGGCUUCUUUCUUCGGAUUGGAGUGUUAUAGCUUUUGUUGAUAUCGCCUAUCUGGACUGAGGACUGCGCUUUNGCUAGGAUGUUGGCGUAAUGAUCUUAAGCCACC